Molecule: long non-coding RNA, 316 nt
Filed under: Hordeum vulgare
Lineage: Eukaryota; Viridiplantae; Streptophyta; Magnoliopsida; Poales; Poaceae
Description: long non-coding RNA (HVUL_LNC002792)
Source: RNAcentral
UUGUGAAGGCGCACCGGUGGAACUUAAUUCAGGUGUUUGAGGUGGACGUGGUCGGCCGGGAAGAGACUUGUGAAGGCGCACCGGUGGAACCUAAUUCAGGUGAUUGAGGUGGAUGUGGCCGGCUGAGAUUGGACUUGUGAAGGCGCACCGGUGGAAACAAAUUCAGGUGUUUCAGGUUGAUGUGGCUGGCCGAGAAGAGACUUGUGAAGGCGCACAUGUGGAUCCUAAUUCACGUGUUUGAUGUGGAUGUGGCCGACCGGGAAGAGACUCGUGAAGGCGCACCGGUGGAACCUAAUUCAGGUGUUUGAGGUGGAUG